UGAAUGGAGUUUUUUUCUCUGAUGUCAGCUGUCUGAGCCUUGCUGUGAACCAGGGUUUGUCGUAGUAAUAUAUAAAGCACUUACUUAAAGGUUUCCUCUUCUCCACAUUCACAGUAUCCUGAAUCACGUUUCCUCAUUCUUUUCAUUGUACAAUUGAGCCAUGAGCCAAAUCUCAUUCUAACUAUUCUAACUAUCAUUCAUAUAAAUUGGCCUGAUUCUAUAGGAAAUUUAAUCUAAACCUAUGAAGGCUUUUGCAGGCCUCUGUCCAAACUAAUGUACUAAAAAUACUAUUCAUUUUCCUAUACACAAGUUAUUAAGUCUUUCUGUUUAUCACAACAUUUGAUAACAAAACCAAACUUACAUCGCUAUUUAUUGAUUUUGAACCAUCUGUGUAUAUACAUUUAUGAAGUCAUUCUAAUUUUUACUAAUGUAUUUCAUUACUCCAUUGGCUUCACUGUUGUCCUCUCUCCUUUUCGUUAACAGGUUCAGAUCCACCUCUGCUUCUUUCAACAAACAUGGAAGAACUGAAAACGCUUCGGGGCAGCCAAUGACCAAGCUUCAAAUCCUGUCUCUAUGGAGACACAAAUAUGUGGUCACCACCGAAAUCUAGAGUGUUGCCUACUUAAUUCAGAAACAAAGAGGAAGAGGAUGCUCAAGGGCGUAUCUCUGUCAGCAAUGUGACCAAACCUUCGCCAGGCCAUACUCACUGAAGAAUCAUCAGAAGAUUCGCUCUGUAGAGAAACCAUAUAGCUGUGACCAGUGUGCCAAUACAUUUAAAACAAGAAGUAAACUAAAAGCCCAUCAGCAAAUUCAUACAAGAGAAAGACCAUACACUUGCACUGAAUGUGGAGCAGCUUUUAAAAGGUCAGAUACUUUGAAAGUCCACUGUUUUGUUCACACUAGCAGAAACCUUAUUGUUGUAAAGAGUGUGGUAAAGCGUUCUAUAAUCACUCUAAGUUAGUUAGACACCAACGUGUUCACACUGGAGAGAAACCUUAUUUGUGCAAAAAGUGUGGAAAAGCAUUGUCUUAUUGCAGUAGCUUAGUGAUACAUCAGUGUGUUCACACUGGAGAGAAACUUUACUCAUGUGAACUAUGGGGUGCCAAAUGUACUGUAAAAGUAGAACCUAUAACUAGUUUUCUCACAUUUAACUAAAUGACACAACAUGUUUUCUCACAUUUAGUUAAAUGUGCAAAA
Molecule: RNA transcript, 1197 nt
Organism: Betta splendens (Siamese fighting fish)
Lineage: Eukaryota; Metazoa; Chordata; Actinopteri; Anabantiformes; Osphronemidae
Exons: 3
Source: RefSeq, a predicted model, not a curated record